Aphis gossypii (cotton aphid) is the source of this 1563-nucleotide RNA transcript. It is a transcript of the gene named putative inositol monophosphatase 3, with no coding region annotated. The record is from RefSeq and is a predicted model, not a curated record. NCBI's taxonomy places the organism in Eukaryota, Metazoa, Arthropoda, Insecta, Hemiptera, Aphididae. The transcript is spliced from 6 exons.
AAUCUCGUAUUAUAAUUUGUAAAACAAAUCGUUUGUCGUUUUGAUCAUAAUUCGUAGUUACUAGGUUUUUUUGUCUAUCACCUUAUAAUAUGAAACGAAAAGCAAUAGAAUUAUUAUAUUAAAGAAAGCUAUCUAAAAUCUUGCAUCCAUAAUUAUCUAUAAUUAACAGAAACGAUGGUUUUCGAAAAAAUUAAUUACUUGACUAUUACAAAAUAAUGCUAAUUUGUAAUUUAUGUAGUCGUGAUUUUAGUCAUGGUUGACGUUCAUAUUAACAAAUUAAAACUGAAAAAAAUGAUUAUCCGAAAUAAAACCCUAAUUAAAUUAUUUGCUCUCUUAAUUUUCUGUACAAUUUUUCUGUAUGUGUGCAAGUAUAGUUUUAGUAAUAGAUACGAAUUUGUAAGAGGUAAAGACCUUUUGGAACAAGCCAUUCGAGCAGCACAAUUUGGUGGUAUUCAAGUUGAAGCUAUCCACAGUGAACAUUUGAUUAACUCCCAAUCAAAAGGAAAAACUCUUGAAGGUGCAAAUGAUCCAGUUACUAAUGCUGAUUAUACAUCUCAUUGUGCUAUGUAUUAUCUAUUGAAAAAAAAUAUCCCAAACGUAAAAGUUAUAUCAGAGGAAGAAUUAUCUGAAAAAGAAUGCAAAAAGUUAAAUAUUAGAAAAUUAAAAGAUUAUGAUAACGGACAUAUAACAGAUAUUGAAGAAGAAUUUGAGAGGAAAUAUAUAACCAUAUGGAUUGAUCCAUUAGAUGCAACACAAGAAUUUACUGAAAGUCUAACACAAUAUGUAACAACCAUGGUCUGUGUUGCAUAUAAAGGUAAACCUAUAAUGGGUGUUAUACAUGAACCGUUUUCAUCUAAAACAACAUGGGCUUGGCUCUCAAAAUCAAGAUCAAACAAUUUUAACAAUAUCAAGGUUCCUAAAAAAAAAUCAAUUAUCAUUUCAAGAUCACACAAAGGUGAUGUAAUGGGUCUAUUAAAUCAACGGUUAUAUGGUUUACCAGUUGUAACUGCUGGAGGUGCAGGAUUCAAAGUUUUACAAGUGUUAUUUGGAAACUCCUCGGCUUAUAUUCAUACAACUAACAUUAAAAAAUGGGAUAUAUGUGCUGGACAUGCUAUACUAAAAAGUAUAGGAGGUGAAAUGACAUCGUUGGAAAAUGAAGAUAUAACGUAUGAAAAAUAUACAAGUAUGGUGCAUGUUGGAGGAAUAUUAGCUACUGCUCGUGAUCAUUUAUACUAUAUAAAUGCUCUAAAAAACGGAAGAAGUGAUUAAAAUAAUUAAUAAUAGAUAAUGAAGGUAUUCUGUAAUUGUCGAUGUAGAUGGAUACAUUAAUGCUGGUGGAUAGAUUUGAGAUAUAAAAGGAAAACAUAAAAUACUUGAUCCAAAGGCCGAAAACACCAGUGAUCAAACCUCCGAUGCAUCGUUCAAUGUUUAAUAGUUCUAUACGAAGGGAAUUCAAAUUAAACAAAGGUUGUCACCAAACAAUGGGCUAUGCUGAAGUUAAAGUCAAUGAGCCGUCUGAGUUUUUAAAGAAAAAAUCUAGAAAAGUUAUUAGACCAUUUGUCG